AGCUUUGCACAGUGGCAGUGUCGUAGCCAGUGAGGUUUAUCCUAGAUGUGAUUAAAGCUAAUUAACUUUUCCCAAUACCCUGCCAUGAUGAUUUGAAAUAUAGCCGGCAUUGGCAAUUUUGGACAGUCUCUACAGAGA
Molecule: small nuclear RNA, 138 nt
Organism: Arvicanthis niloticus (Nile rat)
Lineage: Eukaryota; Metazoa; Chordata; Mammalia; Rodentia; Muridae
Product: U4 spliceosomal RNA
Source: RefSeq, a predicted model, not a curated record